GAUGAAGAACGUAGCGAAAUGCGAUACGUAAUGUGAAUUGCAGAAUUCAGUGAAUCAUCGAAUCUUUGAACGCAUAUUGCGCUCUCUGGUAUUCCGGAGAGCAUGCUUGUUUGAGUAUCAGUAAACACCUCAACUCCCUUUUCUUUUUUGAAAUUGGAGCUGGACUUGAGUGAUCCCAACGCUUUCUUCCAAGAAAGUGGCGGGUUGCUUGAAAUGCAGGUGCAGCUGAACUUUUCUCUGAGCUAUAAGCAUAUCUAUUUAGUCUGCCUAAAAAACAGAUUAUUACCUUUGCUGCAGCUAACAUAAAGGAGACUAGUUCUUGUGCUGACUGAUGCAGGAUUCACAGAGACAGCUUCGGCUGACUUUGUAAACUCGAUCUCAAAUCCAGUAAGACUACCCGCUGAACUUAAGCAUAUCAAUAAGCGGAGGA
RNAcentral lists this unclassified non-coding RNA (430 nucleotides) under soil metagenome. Its description in RNAcentral is "partial contains 5.8S ribosomal RNA, internal transcribed spacer 2, and large subunit ribosomal RNA". The stretch from base 1 to 120 matches the Rfam family "5.8S ribosomal RNA", at positions 35 to 154 of the family's 154-position model. The record is from RNAcentral.